This 6038-nucleotide ribosomal RNA is filed under the name Triticum aestivum (bread wheat). Its description in RNAcentral is "partial small subunit ribosomal RNA". The record is from RNAcentral. Lineage: Eukaryota; Viridiplantae; Streptophyta; Magnoliopsida; Poales; Poaceae.
CCGGUGUCGAUGGUGAGGCGGCAGCAAGCGGAAACUGGCCAACUGGGGUAGGCGCGCGCCAGAGACGGAGCUGGGCUGCGAGCCCGGCCGCCGCGCUCGGUGGGCCGGAGGAGGAGAGGCAGGGCAGCUCGAGGAGAGAGACUGGUGCGCGUCGAUCUUCCGGCCGGGUGGCGGCUCGCGUGCCCCGUUAAAGAACCGCCGGCGCCCUGCCUCUACUCGCUCGCCUUCAACGAAACGGCUAAGAGAGGUGUGGGAUCUACUUACGGCUUGAGACCUGUGCUAAACCACUCAGGUCUAGAAACCCGUGGCCGACCUAGACACAAAACCCCGUGUACAGGAGGACUCGAGAGGGAGACGAGGGAACCAGGUUGAGAAGAAGGUGGAAGUCGCGUCGGGUGGGGUCCAUCCGUUCGAGAACGAAGCCGACAUGGAACAAUACAGUAUCUCAUGUAUGGUACGGGUAACAACACCUGGUCACCAUGUUAAAGUGGUACAAGAAUCAAUAAUCGAACUACGAUGUAGACAGACUUAACGACUUCUUAGUGAAGUAAAAAUUCGAUGGCGCUGUACGGUUAAGGAAGAACAGAAGGCUAUUAUGUAUGUAGACGAAACAUUUACAAUGAAUCUCAUUUACUUUCAAAGUGGGAAUUUUAUGAAUAAUAUGGUGAAUGGGGUUAAUUUAAAAAUAGUGUAAAAGUGUAAACACUGUGAUGGCUGGUAAAAAAUAUGAUGAACUAUGUAAACUCUUUAAAUAACGUACAUGGGGAAUAGGUAUACGCAUGUGUACGUGAAUGGUGUACGAGGUUCAGAAACACCAUGAUCCUCUAUCUCUUAUGUUACAACUUGUGGUGUUCACCCCGCUGUAGCGGUAAGAGCAAGCUCAACAAUUCUGUCUAAUGACUAUUAAAAAGACUGCUGGCGCAUUAACCAGUACCACGCAUACCUCACCAAAUGUUCCCUCAUAACCUGUUGCCCCUUUUCUAACGACACUUCUUCGAAUUUAUGUACGGAGGUCUUAUGCUGUCACUAUUCGUCAAACUCUUACUCACGUGAUUAGAGUACUCUCAGGUUGUAGUGUUAUAACACGCCAAUCAACCGAUGACAGUACUUUGUGCCGCACUUAUACAACUUGUGCCACCUUUUAUGCAAAAACGAUCGCUCCUGUUUGCUCAAGAGACGAAACUUAUGAACGUCCCACCUUCGGAACUGUUUGUGCAGAGACUGCUCAGUACGUUUGAACUAACCCUGUGCACAAUGUUUUAUUAAUUCCCUCAGACACUCCCAAAUUUAGUAGAAGUAUUACUAAGGUAAAAGGUAAACCUGAACUUUGGUCGCUUAUAUAACGACCUGUUGUUGUACUACGGGUUUUAACCGCUAAAACCAAAUAGUUCUAAGAAAGGCAGUUGUCUUUGGAUGUGGUGUUGUUGUACAAUACCUUGUGAGCCUAUGUAUGGUGGUCUUGUGUAGUUGUUGGUAGUUUAGAGCGGUUUUAUACUACAUAAGUCAAACCCACAAUAUUAAUAUGUUUAUUACCGUCCUGCGUUUCCGAUGUUACUAGGACCUCUAUGAUGAAGUGAGUUUAAGUAACUCAGACAUACACUCUUCACCGUUUUUUCCCAUGUACGUUGCUACACCAGUGUGUAUAGUGUUCUUCAAUUCUGUACGUAGCUUUAUCGAAAUUCGACACACCUUAGACUAGCCGUCUUUUCCGGAUGAUAUUCGGUCUAACAGUUACGUGAAUUCUCCUAACUAUAACUUUUUAACAGUGAAUGCACACUCCGGGUUUCGUACGUCCGGAACCAGGUGUUGGUUAUAUGCUGGAGGAGUCGAAGAUACCCCCAGGUACUACCACCGUGAUCUAAACUCAGUUGUGGACUGCUCCACCCUCCCCUACUAUCUAGCUGCGUACGUUUAUACAUGGUCCUUUGACGACUUGGGUAGCUGAUACUUAUGUUCGGAUAGUAAUCCUUGGGUCGCGGAUCACGAUAACCUCCCGUACGUCUAUCUCUAUAAACCCUCGAAGUUUUACACUGGGUCUGUUCGUUCCUCUUGUAGGAACUGAUACCGGGCUCCUUGAGUUUAUAUUCCCACCUUCCGUCGGAAGUAUGAGGUCAGUGGUAGCCAUAUUACCUACGAUAACCCCAAUAAUCACCGAAGUUUCUCACACUGAUAGAAAAAGUCACCCGAUCUAGAUGAUAAAAUAGUGUUAAAUCGCCAUGUUUGCUCGUUCCCGAGCUACUCCUUAAUAAAGCUAACUUCUUACCGGAUGUUACGGAAUCCCUAUGAGAAGGGCGUUACAUACUUGAGUAACUAGCUCGUCUCACCUCCUCGGUGUUCGUAAUACACCGUCUCGAGGAAGGUUUUGAGUCCCUACCUCACAUACUACGUCUUCUGGAAGAACUACUCAAGUCUACCAUGUACGACUUCCACUUUCACCUACCCUUACCUUCGGUUAGAAGUAAGUACCUGAAGAAGUUAUCACAGUAAGCACCUUCGAAAUUGUUUCACCUAUCAUAAGUCUUUUCCGAUCUAUUAUAAAGGUACGUGGAGGCACCAUACCCCAAUGUACUAUAGUGUUAUGCCAAACUGUUUAGUCAGUCCGGUCUCUGAUCGAGAAAGGGUCUACUUUGUUUUUAUAAACCAGCACUGUACCUCGAUUUCGUCUAGUAACUCAACGAAACACGUGGCUCUUUAUCAUCGCUACGAGUAGGGUUUGCGGUCUUUCCUUUAUCACGUGAACUACAUAGUUGAUCGUGUAGUCGUUCUUUAGUUCAACCAUUACUUAGUUCUUAUAGUCUAGAAGAACAAGAUGGUUAUCAACCUUAACCCCCACAACCUUUCUGGUGAGACCGAGUUGUAUAUACGUCAGUACUUCUUCACCUCAGGGUAAAACUGUUUUAUUAAACCCAAACGCACAGUCUACUGAAACUACACUUCUCCAAUUGAUUUCUCCAAUAUGUCAGAACAAGACUUUUUAUACGUUGAUGUCUUUUAAACUUAAACGAAGUCUUCUAAAAAAGACUAUAACGCUCUUGACUUUUCGAUAACUAACAAGACCUACUAUACACCCUGCUACAAAACUUCCUUUUAUCCUUCGUGACCUUGUCCAAAACACGUGGAAAUUCCUUACAUGACGGCCCUUCAUACUACAACUAAUGAUGAUCUUCGGGUGUCCAACGACUGUUUCACCCGUGCUACCUGGGGUAAUGUAACCUUCCAAAUCUCCUACUACGCAAGACCUUUAAAAAGCUUCAUACACAAAAACUCAGACCCUCAAGGUCAUUAUUACUAGGACUCAAUCUCGUGUAACCAUCUUCCUAUCAAGGAUUCAAUGUCCCAAGAGGAAAUCGACGGUUUUGAGAACCCGCUUAUAAUUCUUACUUGGAAGUUCAUCGUGUAACCUUACUACAUGAUCUCUCACUUGACACCUUCAACUCGGUCCUCCUCUGACUUUAAAACGGUCGAGAAGCCAACUCGAUGUACAUGAAUGGUAAGGCAGACUUCUCUACGAAGAGUAAAACACGUCACAUGGGGUUUCUAAUGGUUAAAGUUUUCCUAGCAAAUCGACUUUAAACCCACCGUCUUCCGAAACAACUUGGAGUUCCACUAUGAGGUGAAGUUCUAUAACCGACACUUAUGAAGUUACUGGAAAAUUUAUCCAGGAAAAAAGUUCUUCAUGUACCGUUUAUGAAUUAGGUACUGAACGACGUACUGUACCGUGUCUUUCAAAGUCUCGUACUCACGAAGUAGCACCUUUCUCUCUCACUGAAGUUACUAUAAGGAGGAUUACAAGCGGUAAACAGUUAGGAGAAACCGCCUCUGUAGCUGUUGCGGUCAAACAACUCAGAUAUGGUGAAUUGUUUCGAUGCAUGGGAAGAAACGCUUUUCGGAAAUCGCUUGUUUUUUUGAGGUCGAUCAAAUUACCUUUUUACCACUCAUUUGAAGACAUAGACGCACACUAACAAACACUGAGUUGAUUACUCAAUGGUCGAUAACCGUUGAACUUCGUAGAAGCCAUGGAAGUUUAGAACUCGCGAAGUGGAAAGUUCUCAGAGGGGCGGCUCAAGACAGCCGAGAUAUUGGACGUCUAAGACGCAGAUCUCUUUACGUAAGAUCUUUCGAACGGUCUACUGAAGUCAUCAGACUAUACGAAUGUCUCUAACCUUAGUGUACCUAAAGUUACAUUAAGUUCCAAAUCUUCAAAGGUCUCUCUUGAAAUAAUACUUCAAUCACAACUACAUCGGUUACCACUCGUCCCUAGUCGUAAAUCCACAUAUUUCUUAUAAUUGGUUGAGCCACUUAACCACUACAUAUUAUAACUGUUCGUUUCGUUCCUCGUACGUCGUCUUCGGGUUGAUGUCUUAUUCUUCAUAGAACUCUACAACUUGGACAGUAACAUACCCAACUCCAGAGGUCUCCUGUUACUGUAUCUUCACGAAGCUCAAAAUGUUGGAGGAUGGACGGAGUUCUAAGACGAGGAGUUACCAAUAGGUCCACACAGUGAAGGUUCCACCAGUCGUAGCUCAGAGAGUCUAGUAUAUUUGGGUUCACUCUAUGAACUCCACAAUCAACUAUUGCGAUUACUAUAGUGACCAUAAAAAGGUCAGGACUGUCUCGACCAGUAACUAUUCACGGUUUUAAAUAGUACGGAGCUUGUAUAAGAUGUAGGUCUAACACAUGGGCGGUAAUCCCUUUAGUGUUAAUUUCUAACAUUCUUGAAUCAAAGUCAUGGUCGACUUUCUAAACCCCUAGAGGCAACGGACCUUCUUAAGUGCCACGUUCCCACGGGUUUAUAUAGAAAGGCUUCAAACCAACGUGGAAGAGAGUUCUCCGAACACGACCCAUCCCCCCUACUAAUAUCAAUACUCGUAUCAACACCGUUAAAGCGUCUGUUAUAGCUGACGACGAGGGAGUGAAUGAAAAAGAACAGUUCGAUGGUAGAGUGUAGGUAGGUUGAUGUUUACACCUUAGAAGGUCGUGAUCUCCUCAACCUCUAAAGUUUAACACUUAGAGAAUGUAGAUAGUAACCUGUUAGUCCUGUCCAGAACUUUUUGUGACCGCCGAGAUCUCGUAAGGGUAGAGAACGAAGGGAUAGUUAACAAACCACAGUACUCGACAGUUGAUACCUGCUAGAGGAUCGUCUUCUAAUAUAUGGACGGUAACUCUUUUAAACAUAAUUUAAAACAUAGUCAAAUUUCAGGGACGGGCCACUUUCCAAAACCUUUAAAAGAAGAGACUCCCUAAACCUUUAGAGACCAACACCAUCUGAGUCGACCUUCUUGCCUAAGAAAAAUGGUAGAAGGGAGGUUUCCGAGCGGAAUCGAGUUACACCCCUAUAGAGACGUACCCAAGGGCUGACGGAUCUUUUGGAAUGCAGGGAACAAUGUAACCUCUAAAGAGAUACAGCCGUAUAUUGUAGGUAAGGCCCGUCGGAAACCUCGUGAUUGGAGUGUAGUGAACUCUUAAAUAGCUAACUCUUGACACGUCUAUAGCAAAGUUAACCACCUCUUUUACGUUAAAGUCUUUAUGUUUUACAUACCUAAUGUCCGACAGGACCCUACCUCCUUGAUUUCGCCGGGUACCAUUCUCCGUUUGCCUAUGGUACUCUCACCUCGGUCAGAAGGGGUUACACCAAACAAGUCAGUUGUUAGAUGACCCUAGUUUCUAGACUCGAAAAUCGACUUAGGUGCAAUGCGGUAUCGUCGAAUAGGAACAAUGAGUUCCAAAUGAGGUAGGUAGUAAGACAGCCGUUUAGGGUAUAUUUAUUACGUCAAUACCUCAAAUGGUCAGAGGGGUAAAGUAGUACGCGGUAAAACGUGAAAGAUCAUGAACACCUUAUUUACUCCCGUUUUAUAUGUACAAUAACAUGGAACAUACCACAUAUACACGGUAAUGAAACUAAAAAGAGUCAGUUGAUAAUUCUUGUUAAAAUUAGUCCUAUAAGAGGAGCACACUCUCCAGAUAUGAUCAUCUACAAUAGGACAAUUACAACAUCGUCAAGUUAUAGACUCCUUGAAGAACUACGAACUACACUACUG